AACGAACGCUGGCGGCAUGCCUAACACAUGCAAGUCGAACGAGACCUUCGGGUCUAGUGGCGCACGGGUGCGUAACGAGGGGGAACCUGCCCGUAGGUUCGGAAUAACUCCCCGUAAGGGGAGCUAAUACCGGAUAAGGUCUUCGGGCCAAAGAUUUUUCGCCGUAGGGUGGGCCCGGGUAGGAUUAGCUAGUUGGGAGGGUAAAAGCCUACCAAGGCGACGAUCCCUAGCUGGUCGGAGAGCAUGAUCAGCCACACUGGGACUGAGACACGGCCUAGUCUCCUACGCGAGGCUGCAGUGUGGAAUAUUGGACGCUGGGCGCAGGCCUGAUCCCGCCACGCCGCGGGAGUGAUGAAUGCCUUAGUGUUGUACAUCUCUUUUUCCCGGGAUGAUAAUGACGGUACCGGGUGAAUAAGCUCCGGCUAACUCCGUG
RNAcentral lists this ribosomal RNA (433 nucleotides) under uncultured bacterium. RNAcentral describes it as "partial 16S ribosomal RNA". It matches the Rfam family "Bacterial small subunit ribosomal RNA", at positions 29 to 507 of the family's 1533-position model. The record is from RNAcentral.